Zingiber officinale is the source of this 1515-nucleotide long non-coding RNA. RefSeq lists it as uncharacterized. The record is from RefSeq and is a predicted model, not a curated record. The transcript has 4 exons. NCBI's taxonomy places the organism in Eukaryota, Viridiplantae, Streptophyta, Magnoliopsida, Zingiberales, Zingiberaceae.
CUAUAUCGCGCUGUCCAGCUAUCUCUCUCAGUCUCAUCUCCCUCUUCCCCUUUCUAGAUAGACGCUCCUUCCUCUCCCGAUCGGGAUCGACGCCCCUGCUCCUCCGUCCAACCACACAGCAUCUCCUCCACCUCCUCCCUUUGGGUGAGAAGAGGAGCCCUUCUUCGCAUUUCGAGAAAGAAGAGGUGACGAGUUGGUUUUGCUUUCUAGGGUUUUGUUAUCGUCGGAUCUCAGAGUAGUUGCAGCGGAGGGAGGCAAGAUGAAGACAACCAAAGGAGGAAAGGUGAUGAACCCCACCGAUGCCUACCGAAAUGAGAUACGGAAGGAGGUCAAACAGUUAAGAAACACGAACUCUUUGGUUCCAUUUCCGCUAGUUCAUUCUCAACCUCAGGGGCUCCCUUCCUUUUAGUGCCAUCGGAUCUAGCUUAUCCUUUCCGAAGUUUUACUUUGUGUUUUUUUGUGUCUUUGUUGUGUCAGAUUUUUUUUCUGCUUUAUGGAUGAUGGUGUUGUCUGAUAAGAUGUUUAAUUUUUUUUGUGGACCAUUGCGCUAGUGGAGACGAUUCUUCAUUUGUAAAGAGGGUAACGAAGUGGUUAUAAAAUGAGAGAUUAUAAAAUUGCUGUUUAUGGCACGAUGGACUCGGUUGCCGAUCCUAUCCAAAUAAUUCAAGGCUUUCCAUGGACGAAAGAGUGGAGAAGAGUGCGUCUUUUCUCCUCUUUUUUCCCAUUUGUUUCCUUCUAAUUUCGGUGGGUUUGGAUGCUACAUAAAUUAGGGUUCUUGUUCUCGUCAACGAGGUCUGAAAAUCCAGGAUAUCGAGGUUUUGGCUGCGGAAUUUGGCCAGAUGUGGGGGGAGAGAGGGUGGUUCUACUGGGGAAGGUCGGAGCGAGAAGCGCGGAGAGAAGCAAAGGGAAUCGCCGUGCUCUUCUCAUGGCUCUUGAGCCAGGAGAGCGAUCUGAAGCCUUUCGUCGAUCUGUACUGUUCUCUCGGCUGGAGUCCCCUUGUCUGUUAUGUCGACUUCCUCACGCUGAACUGUUCAGUUUAAUUUGGAUCCCUUCAAUGAGCACAAUGAUGUUGAUCUUUGGGAAGCAUUAGAGAGAGCUCAUCUAAAAGAUGUGAUUCGAAGGAAUUCAUUGGGGCUCGAUGCAGAGGAAAUGUUAAAGGACGUUGUUAGGACAAAAACAUAUCAGAAUGUUAUUUAUUAGAAUUCAUUUCUAUUCAAGAACAAGGUCGUCCUUGAUGUGGGUGCAGGAACAGGAAUUUUGUUUCUGUUUUGUGCUAAAGCAGGGGCAAAACACGUAUAUGCAGUGGAAUGCUCUCAAAUGGCUGACAUGGCAAAAGAAAUAGUUCGAACAAAUGGAUAUUCUGAUGGUGACUAGUGAUUCUAUAUUUGAUGAUUGUACUCAGUUCCAUCUUACUUAUUUGUCAUAUUAUAUUUGUGUAAUUUAUGGAUACGGACUUGAUGUGUACAAUAUCUAUUAUCUUUUUACGUUGCAAGAAUAAUAUUUAUGUUUUGGUUA